UGAUCCUAAUCUUUUUGUUUCGUGACUUCAUCGACAAACACUGCUUAUUGUCUUAUAUCCACUGUGUUACCUGAUUUUAAGUUGUUUGUUACCAGUUUUUAUUCUUUUAAAUAAGAUUCUUCCAAUAUGACUCAAAUGAUAACCAAAUCCCUUCAGGCUUGUAAGGAUUCCUUGGGGCUUCUUAUUGUCCUUUGGGCUUCUUAUAUUCCUUUGGAACGUCUCGACCACAGUUCCCAUUCACUUCACUAGGCUCAACUUUCUUGUCUUAUACAUUUGUUUAAACUUUCUUUUUAUUCUAUAUCUUUUUGUUUCUUUAUUUUAUUAACGUUUUAUUAACUUUCAGUUUUACGCUUCCUUUAUUGGCAACCGCCAAAUCUCGACUACCUUUGUCUUUUCUUUUUUAAGUUUUCAAAAUUAACUUCUUUUAACACAAAACCUAACUGAAAAACUCUACUAACAAAACUAAUUAAAAAAAUCGUUACCCUAACUGCAAUUUAAACAAACAAAAAACUGUGCAAAAAAAAUACUUGUUUAAUAAGACCUAUUUCAAAAACAAUAAAGAAAUGUACAUACAUUACAACUAAAUUGCUGUAUUAACGUUAAGGUUCAACGUACUUUCCUAUCCGACACAUAUAAGAAAAACUUUCGUGAAUUUUAAAGAGAAAUUUUCACGAAUUUUCUCUUUAAUGCUGGAAACCCUGUUUUUGUUGUUGUCGUAUUAAACCAUACUGUCAUCACAUGCAACACUGCAUUAUCCCACGAUCCACAUUUUGACGUUUCUAUUUUGACAACUAAAUACCUAUGAUCACAAACAUUAAAUCAGACAACAUAAACAAAACAAUCAACUAAAACAAAUUAUAAAUUCAAAUUUAUUUUAAUUAUUUAAUAAACAAUCAUCGAACAAAACCAAGACAAGUGAUAAUUAAAACAAACUACAAUAAAAAAAAACAUGCAACAGUGCAAUAAAACAAUAAAACAAUACAAUCAGCAUUCAGAAAUAACAAGAAAACAAACUCCCCGGAAGAAACCGUGUAUUGUCCACGAACCACCAACCAGAUGCGAUACCAAGACUAUCCUCCUGAAAACUUCAUACAUCAAAUCAAUCUCAACAAAACUCUUUCAUUCCCAGACCAGAUGCAGGAAUGAUAGUGUGAGAUUAUGGAGGUAGUACUAUGUCACACCGACGCAACUCUCCGUCUAGCUAGCCGGGCAACUUCAACCAUCAAUAUUAGAGAUAUUUAUCAAAAUAUCUUGAAUGUUACUUUGUUCAAAAUUUUACUAUAUUUCCGGUACUAUAUUACGCGUGCAGGUCCCAUUACGAACAAAUCUGCCCAGUUGGUUUUGUAUAAGAAUUGGAAUAAUACCCCAGCAUAUAUCACAGAAGAAUAACUUAACCUAAUAUUGCACAUUUUCGUUAUUGCACAGUGCUCGAGUAAUAUCCUCCAACUGUACAUCCUCCUCGCUAGUUAGUGAAUUCCCUCCAUCUGACCGCUUUUCGGAAAUACAAACUUUUCUAAUUUCCUUUAACAUUUGAGAAAAUCCACUUUGCAAACUCUUCUGGAUGCGAUCAUCUAACCUACUUUCCAGUUCAUUCCUAUUAAUUAAUGUUGCAUAAGCCCUAGGACUUUGACCGAUUGAUAUACCUCUAGGAAUUGCAGGUGGUGGAAUAUUGGCAUCGAAGCCUGGUAAAGGAUUUACUCUUUUCAGUAUGGUACCCGUUGGAUUUUGAUUUGGAAUUGGUGGUCGCGCUGUUGGUGGAGUUCUCUGUAUCGGCAUUUUUAUUGUUCUUAAUUAUUCAUAUAUAUCUGUGAUACUCAAAUUAAAUAGUGCUGAAAACAACUUAUAAUCAAAAUAACUAACGCUUUAAAUUUUAAACAAUUAACGUAAUACAACAUAAACUACUUAUACAAUUAAACCUAUAGUUAAAACAUAAAACAUAACUUAAACUAGAGACAUACAUAUACUAAAAACAUAAAAUCUCUAAAACAAUAUUAAUAUAUAGAUUAA
Long non-coding RNA from Lucilia sericata (common green bottle fly), 2007 nucleotides. RefSeq lists it as uncharacterized. NCBI's taxonomy places the organism in Eukaryota, Metazoa, Arthropoda, Insecta, Diptera, Calliphoridae. The transcript is spliced from 4 exons. The record is from RefSeq and is a predicted model, not a curated record.